GUGGGGAAUUUUGGACAAUGGGCGCAAGCCUGAUCCAGCAAUGCCGCGUGCAGGAAGAAGGCCUUCGGGUUGUAAACUGCUUUUGUACGGAACGAAACGGUCCGGGUUAAUACCCUGGGCUAAUGACGGUACCGUAAGAAUAAGCACCGGCUAACUACGUGCCAGCAGCCGCGGUAAUACGUAGGGUGCAAGCGUUAAUCGGAAUUACUGGGCGUAAAGCGUGCGCAGGCGGUUUUGUAAGACAGGCGUGAAAUCCCCGGGCUCAACCUGGGAAUUGCGCUUGUGACUGAAAGGCUGGAGUGCGGCAGAGGGGGAUGGAAUUCCGCGUGUAGCAGUGAAAUGCGUAGAUAUGCGGAGGAACACCGAUGGCGAAGGCAAUCCCCUGGGCCUGCACUGACGCUCAUGCACGAAAGCGUGGGGAGCAAACAGGAUUAGAUUCCCUAGUAGUCC
Molecule: ribosomal RNA, 450 nt
Filed under: uncultured bacterium
Lineage: Bacteria
Description: partial 16S ribosomal RNA
Rfam family: Bacterial small subunit ribosomal RNA
Source: RNAcentral